Molecule: ribosomal RNA, 2193 nt
Filed under: Escherichia coli MS 107-1
Lineage: Bacteria; Pseudomonadati; Pseudomonadota; Gammaproteobacteria; Enterobacterales; Enterobacteriaceae
Description: bacterial LSU rRNA
Rfam family: Bacterial large subunit ribosomal RNA
Source: RNAcentral
UUAAGCGACUAAGCGUACACGGUGGAUGCCCUGGCAGUCAGAGGCGAUGAAGGACGUGCUAAUCUGCGAUAAGCGUCGGUAAGGUGAUAUGAACCGUUAUAACCGGCGAUUUCCGAAUGGGGAAACCCAGUGUGUUUCGACACACUAUCAUUAACUGAAUCCAUAGGUUAAUGAGGCGAACCGGGGGAACUGAAACAUCUAAGUACCCCGAGGAAAAGAAAUCAACCGAGAUUCCCCCAGUAGCGGCGAGCGAACGGGGAGCAGCCCAGAGCCUGAAUCAGUGUGUGUGUUAGUGGAAGCGUCUGGAAAGGCGCGCGAUACAGGGUGACAGCCCCGUACACAAAAAUGCACAUGCUGUGAGCUCGAUGAGUAGGGCGGGACACGUGGUAUCCUGUCUGAAUAUGGGGGGACCAUCCUCCAAGGCUAAAUACUCCUGACUGACCGAUAGUGAACCAGUACCGUGAGGGAAAGGCGAAAAGAACCCCGGCGAGGGGAGUGAAAAAGAACCUGAAACCGUGUACGUACAAGCAGUGGGAGCACGCUUAGGCGUGUGACUGCGUACCUUUUGUAUAAUGGGUCAGCGACUUAUAUUCUGUAGCAAGGUUAACCGAAUAGGGGAGCCGAAGGGAAACCGAGUCUUAACUGGGCGUUAAGUUGCAGGGUAUAGACCCGAAACCCGGUGAUCUAGCCAUGGGCAGGUUGAAGGUUGGGUAACACUAACUGGAGGACCGAACCGACUAAUGUUGAAAAAUUAGCGGAUGACUUGUGGCUGGGGGUGAAAGGCCAAUCAAACCGGGAGAUAGCUGGUUCUCCCCGAAAGCUAUUUAGGUAGCGCCUCGUGAAUUCAUCUCCGGGGGUAGAGCACUGUUUCGGCAAGGGGGUCAUCCCGACUUACCAACCCGAUGCAAACUGCGAAUACCGGAGAAUGUUAUCACGGGAGACACACGGCGGGUGCUAACGUCCGUCGUGAAGAGGGAAACAACCCAGACCGCCAGCUAAGGUCCCAAAGUCAUGGUUAAGUGGGAAACGAUGUGGGAAGGCCCAGACAGCCAGGAUGUUGGCUUAGAAGCAGCCAUCAUUUAAAGAAAGCGUAAUAGCUCACUGGUCGAGUCGGCCUGCGCGGAAGAUGUAACGGGGCUAAACCAUGCACCGAAGCUGCGGCAGCGACGCUUAUGCGUUGUUGGGUAGGGGAGCGUUCUGUAAGCCUGCGAAGGUGUGCUGUGAGGCAUGCUGGAGGUAUCAGAAGUGCGAAUGCUGACAUAAGUAACGAUAAAGCGGGUGAAAAGCCCGCUCGCCGGAAGACCAAGGGUUCCUGUCCAACGUUAAUCGGGGCAGGGUGAGUCGACCCCUAAGGCGAGGCCGAAAGGCGUAGUCGAUGGGAAACAGGUUAAUAUUCCUGUACUUGGUGUUACUGCGAAGGGGGGACGGAGAAGGCUAUGUUGGCCGGGCGACGGUUGUCCCGGUUUAAGCGUGUAGGCUGGUUUUCCAGGCAAAUCCGGAAAAUCAAGGCUGAGGCGUGAUGACGAGGCACUACGGUGCUGAAGCAACAAAUGCCCUGCUUCCAGGAAAAGCCUCUAAGCAUCAGGUAACAUCAAAUCGUACCCCAAACCGACACAGGUGGUCAGGUAGAGAAUACCAAGGCGCUUGAGAGAACUCGGGUGAAGGAACUAGGCAAAAUGGUGCCGUAACUUCGGGAGAAGGCACGCUGAUAUGUAGGUGAAGUCCCUUGCGGAUGGAGCUGAAAUCAGUCGAAGAUACCAGCUGGCUGCAACUGUUUAUUAAAAACACAGCACUGUGCAAACACGAAAGUGGACGUAUACGGUGUGACGCCUGCCCGGUGCCGGAAGGUUAAUUGAUGGGGUCAGCGCAAGCGAAGCUCUUGAUCGAAGCCCCGGUAAACGGCGGCCGUAACUAUAACGGUCCUAAGGUAGCGAAAUUCCUUGUCGGGUAAGUUCCGACCUGCACGAAAUGGCGUAAUGAUGGCCAGGCUGUCUCCACCCGAGACUCAGUGAAAUUGAACGUCGCUGUGAAGAUUGCAGUGUACCCGCGGCAAGACGGAAAGUACCCCGUGAACCUUUACUAUAGCUUGACACUGUAACAUUGAGCCUUGAUGUGUAGGAUAGGUGGGAGGUCUUUGAAGUGUGGACGCCAGUCUGCAUGGUAGCCGACCUUGAAAUACCACCCUUUAAUGUU